GAACCUGAGAGUUUGAUCCUGGCUCAGAACGAACGCUGGCGGCAUGCCUAACACAUGCAAGUC
RNAcentral lists this ribosomal RNA (63 nucleotides) under Azospirillum rugosum. RNAcentral's name for it is "partial 16S ribosomal RNA". It matches the Rfam family "Bacterial small subunit ribosomal RNA", at positions 1 to 63 of the family's 1533-position model. The record is from RNAcentral. Lineage: Bacteria; Pseudomonadati; Pseudomonadota; Alphaproteobacteria; Rhodospirillales; Azospirillaceae.